GUUCAUAUUUCUUAUUGUCUUCUUAACGUUUUCUAUUAUUUAAUAUAUUGUUUGUUGGAUUCUAAGGGAGCUUUGAGAACCUAGGCCCCAAUACAUACAUGCAGAGGAAGAUUAAAUUAUCAUAUAUAAAGCUCAGGUGUAGUUUUAGAAGUGGAAGAGAGUAGCUUUGGGCCUUAUCACCAGAUUGGAAACAGAGGAAUUGUAGCUGUUGGAGAGAAUUGCAAGUCCCUGACAGAUCUUAG
Humulus lupulus (European hop) is the source of this 242-nucleotide long non-coding RNA. RefSeq lists it as uncharacterized. The transcript is spliced from 3 exons. The record is from RefSeq and is a predicted model, not a curated record. NCBI's taxonomy places the organism in Eukaryota, Viridiplantae, Streptophyta, Magnoliopsida, Rosales, Cannabaceae.